RNAcentral lists this ribosomal RNA (468 nucleotides) under uncultured bacterium. RNAcentral describes it as "partial 16S ribosomal RNA". It matches the Rfam family "Bacterial small subunit ribosomal RNA", at positions 28 to 507 of the family's 1533-position model. The record is from RNAcentral.
GAUGAACGCUGACAGAAUGCUUAACACAUGCAAGUCUACUUGAGUUUGGGUUUUUUAACUUAGAUUUGGGUGGCGGACGGGUGAGUAACGCGUAAAGAACUUGCCUCACAGUUAGGGACAACAUUUGGAAACGAAUGCUAAUACCUGAUAUUAUGAAUAUAUGGCAUCAUAUAAUUAUGAAAGCUAUAAGCGCUGUGAGAGAGCUUUGCGUCCCAUUAGCUAGUUGGAGAGGUAACGGCUCACCAAGGCGAUGAUGGGUAGCCGGCCUGAGAGGGUGAACGGCCACAAGGGGACUGAGACACGGCCCUUACUCCUACGGGAGGCAGCAGUGGGGAAUAUUGGACAAUGGACCAAGAGUCUGAUCCAGCAAUUCUGUGUGCACGAUGACGUUUUUCGGAAUGUAAAGUGCUUUCAGUUGGGAAGAAAAAAAUGACGGUACCAACAGAAGAAGUGACGGCUAAAUACGUG